AGCUCUGUAGUGUAUAUUACACGUUGAAUUGCAAAUUCAGAAAAGCAGCUUCAACCCUGCCGGGGCUU
RNAcentral lists this transfer RNA (68 nucleotides) under Rhinolophus formosae (Formosan woolly horseshoe bat). RNAcentral's name for it is "tRNA-Cys". It matches the Rfam family "tRNA". Rfam says of the family: Transfer RNA (tRNA) molecules are approximately 80 nucleotides in length. Their secondary structure includes four short double-helical elements and three loops (D, anti-codon, and T loops). The record is from RNAcentral. Lineage: Eukaryota; Metazoa; Chordata; Mammalia; Chiroptera; Rhinolophidae.